AAAGAUAUAGCAUAUUCUUCUGAAUAUACUUUAUUAACCCAUUCCGAGUACCUUACCCGUUGCUUCCGCGAGGCUGUCCUCACGGCCCUCUGAAGAUUUAUCUUUGGGGAGUCCUUGCGGAAGGUAUACAAUAAACUCUUGCAUUACCAUGUCACCUGUCUGAAUCUGUUUAAAACAAAUAUUAAAGCUUUCAACAACGGAUCUCUUGGUUCUCGCAUCGAUGAAGAACGCAGCGAAAUGCGAUAAGUAGUGUGAAUUGCAGAAACUAGUGAAUCAUUGAAUCUUUGAACGCACAUUGCGCCUCCUGGUAUUCCGGGAGGCAUGCCUGUUCGAGCGUCAUUAAAAACCACUCAAGCUCUUUUGCUUGGUCAUGGAAGAAGAGUUUGCUUGCAAUCUCCCUUCCGAAAUUCAAAGGCGGAAAGUCUCAGAGCCCCGGCGUAGUAAUAAUAUUUCGCUUGGAACUUGUGAUGAUCCUGCCCUUAACCCCCAAUUUUAUCUAGGUUGACCUCGGAUCAGGUAGGGAUACCCGCUGAACUUAAGCAUAUCAAUAAGCGGAGGAAUCGCGUACUUGGUCAUUUAGAGGAAGUAAAAGUCGUAACAAGGUUUCCGUAGGUGAACCUGCGGAAGGAUCAUUAUUGAUUGGUCGAAAGACCUUAUCAGAUUCUACCACCUCUGUGAACCGUUGACCUCCGGGUUAAUAAUCAAACAUCAGUGUAACGAACGUAAGAGUAUCUUAAUUAAACA
Molecule: unclassified non-coding RNA, 744 nt
Filed under: soil metagenome
Description: partial contains internal transcribed spacer 1, 5.8S ribosomal RNA, and internal transcribed spacer 2
Rfam family: 5.8S ribosomal RNA (bases 186-339)
Source: RNAcentral